UAAGCUUCCCUUCAGUAAAGCAGGAAGUUGGCAGACUGGUUUUUUGUGCUGCUGCUGGGCUGCUGUUGUUGUUUUAGGGACUUUCAGGAAGUGAAAUCCCUAUCUGAGAAACUCAAGCUAUGGGGAUCUUGGAGUCUAGAAAUCUAGACAACCCAAAAGGUUCCAUCCUGGAAACCUCCAAAAGCAUGGAGCAACUUUAAUUCAUAGAAGAGAUGGGACCUUUCCUCUACAAAAAGGCAAAAUUAAGAAGUUAUCUUUGGAAUUAUCAUACCACCCACAUCUGGAACACUACCACACCAUCACCCCAAACUGGAUGCAGAUUUGAAGACCCAUAGCAUCUUAUUCCUAUUUUUAGUCAGCCAUAAAGAAUAUCUUCUGUAAAGAAUAAAUCUCCUUUGGAUACAUAAGUUUGGUGUGUGAAUUACCUUUUCCCUUCCAUAGUUAUUCAUUUGAAGAGAAAUUGGCUGCCAAAUAAAGGAAUGGAAAAAGUUAUGAGAACUAAGAAA
This is a long non-coding RNA of Antechinus flavipes (yellow-footed antechinus), 506 nucleotides long. RefSeq lists it as uncharacterized. The transcript has 3 exons. Lineage: Eukaryota; Metazoa; Chordata; Mammalia; Dasyuromorphia; Dasyuridae. The record is from RefSeq and is a predicted model, not a curated record.